CCUACGGGAGGCAGCAGUAGGGAAUCUUCCACAAUGGGCGAAAGCCUGAUGGAGCAACGCCGCGUGGGUGAAGAAGGUCUUCGGAUCGUAAAACCCUGUUGUUAGAGAAGAAAGGGCGAGAGAGUAACUGUUCACGUUUCGACGGUAUCUAACCAGAAAGCCACGGCUAACUACGUGCCAGCAGCCGCGGUAAUACUUAGGUGGCAAGCGUUAUCCGGAUUUAUUGGGCGGAAAGGGAACGCAGGCGGUCUUUUAAGUCUGAUGUGAAAGCCUUCGGCUUAACCGGAGUAGUGCAUUGGAAACGGGGAGACUGGAGUGCAGAAGAGGAGAGUGGAACUCCAUGUGGAGCGGUGAAAUGCGUAGAUAUAUGGAAGAACACCAGUGGCGAAAGCGGCUCUCUGGUCUGUAACUGACGCUGAGGUUCGAAAGCGUGGGUAGCAAACAGGAUUAGAUACCCCUGUAGUC
Molecule: ribosomal RNA, 465 nt
Filed under: uncultured bacterium
Lineage: Bacteria
Description: partial 16S ribosomal RNA
Rfam family: Bacterial small subunit ribosomal RNA
Source: RNAcentral